CCUACGGGAGGCAGCAGUGGGGAAUAUUGCACAAUGGGCGCAAGCCUGAUGCAGCGACGCCGCGUGAGGGAUGACGGCCUUCGGGUUGUAAACCUCUUUCAGUAGGGACGAAGCGCAAGUGACGGUACCUACAGAAGAAGGACCGGCCAACUACGUGCCAGCAGCCGCGGUAAUACGUAGGGUCCGAGCGUUGUCCGGAAUUACUGGGCGUAAAGAGCUCGUAGGUGGUUUGUCGCGUUGUCCGUGAAAACUCACAGCUUAACUGUGGGCGUGCGGGCGAUACGGGCAGACUGGAGUACUGCAGGGGAGACUGGAAUUCCUGGUGUAGCGGUGGAAUGCGCAGAUAUCAGGAGGAACACCGGUGGCGAAGGCGGGUCUCUGGGCAGUAACUGACGCUGAGGAGCGAAAGCGUGGGGAGCGAACAGGAUUAGAUACCCUGGUAGUCCACGCCGUAAACGGUGGGUACUAGGUGUGGGUUUCCUUCCUUGGGAUCCGUGCCGUAGCUAACGCAUUAAGUACCCCGCCUGGGGAGUACGGCCGCAAGGCUAAAACUCAAAUGAAUUGACGG
Molecule: ribosomal RNA, 568 nt
Filed under: uncultured bacterium
Lineage: Bacteria
Description: bacterial SSU rRNA
Rfam family: Bacterial small subunit ribosomal RNA
Source: RNAcentral